This 401-nucleotide long non-coding RNA is filed under the name Durio zibethinus. Its description in RNAcentral is "long non-coding RNA (DZIB_LNC002251)". The record is from RNAcentral. Lineage: Eukaryota; Viridiplantae; Streptophyta; Magnoliopsida; Malvales; Malvaceae.
UUUAUGUAAAUCCGGGGUUAACUAGUAGACUGACUAGUGCAAGUGUAAGGUUGUGCUAUCAAUGGGUGCAAAUGGAUUUCUUAGUAAGCUUAACCUUAGGGUGGGGUGAACCCCGGAGGAUAUGAUGGUUCUUCUAUAUUAAUUCCAUUUCUUGCUCCUGGUGUGCCAAUAACUCAUUUACCCUUUAGCAAGCUAGCUAGUAGUUGUUUUAAUUUAGACAUAUGUGCCUCAAUGUUCAAUUAUAUUUCCAUCAUUUUUUCUCUUAUCUCCUUUUGUGCCUUUUCAACCCUCUUAAACCUACUUGUAUUCUUUCUUUCCAUCCCUUGAGAUUUGGAACGGUUUUAUACCUAUGCGAAAUUGUUUAACUUGAUUUCUUUAGCUUCACUAUCCUUGAACCUCUG